RNAcentral lists this ribosomal RNA (302 nucleotides) under uncultured bacterium. RNAcentral's name for it is "partial 16S ribosomal RNA". It matches the Rfam family "Bacterial small subunit ribosomal RNA", at positions 508 to 807 of the family's 1533-position model. The record is from RNAcentral.
GCAGCAGCCGCGGGAAAACGGAGGGUGCAAGCGUUAUCCGGAUUUAUUGGGUUUAAAGGGUCCGUAGGCGGAUCUGUAAGUCAGUGGUGAAAUCUCACAGCUUAACUGUGAAACUGCCAUUGAUACUGCAGGUCUUGAGUAAAUUUGAAGUGGCUGGAAUAAGUAGUGUAGCGGUGAAAUGCAUAGAUAUUACUUAGAACACCAAUUGCGAAGGCAGGUCACUAAGAUUUAACUGACGCUGAUGGACGAAAGCGUGGGGAGCGAACAGGAUUAGAUACCCGAGUAGUCCCUGUCUCUUAUAC